Spea bombifrons (plains spadefoot toad) is the source of this 77-nucleotide small nucleolar RNA. RefSeq annotates it as small nucleolar RNA SNORD83. The record is from RefSeq and is a predicted model, not a curated record. Lineage: Eukaryota; Metazoa; Chordata; Amphibia; Anura; Pelobatidae. The transcript has a single exon.
GCCAUAUGAUGAUAUGUUCUUGUCAUGAGCAUUUGUUGUGAUGCUGACUUAAAUCUAUCACCCUAUAACUGAUGGCU